RNAcentral lists this ribosomal RNA (490 nucleotides) under uncultured bacterium. Its description in RNAcentral is "partial 16S ribosomal RNA". It matches the Rfam family "Bacterial small subunit ribosomal RNA", at positions 28 to 507 of the family's 1533-position model. The record is from RNAcentral.
GAUGAACGCUAGCUACAGGCUUAACACAUGCAAGUCGCGGGGCAGCAUGGGGGUUGCUUGCAAUCCCCGAUGGCGACCGGCGCACGGGUGAGUAACGCGUAUCCAACCUGCCCUUCACCACGGGAUAACCCGGCGAAAGUCGGACUAAUACCGUAUGUUGUCCAUUGACGGCAUCCGAUUUGGACGAAAGGUUUGGCGGGGAAGGAUGGGGAUGCGUCCGAUUAGCUGGACGGCGGGGUGACGGCCCACCGUGGCGACGAUCGGUAGGGGUUCUGAGAGGAAGGUCCCCCACACUGGAACUGAGACACGGUCCAGACUCCUACGGGAGGCAGCAGUGAGGAAUAUUGGGCAAUGGGCGUAAGCCUGAACCAGCCAAGUAGCGUGCAGGAGGACGGCCCUAUGGGUUGUAAACUGCCUUUAUGCGGGGAUAAAGUGGCCCACGUGUGGGUUUUUGCAGGUACCGCAUGAAUAAGGACCGGCUAAUUCCGUG